AGAGUUUGAUCCUGGCUCAGGACGAACGCUGGCGGCGUGGAUUAGGCAUGCAAGUCGCGCGACGGACCUUCGGGUUACGGAGCGGCGAACGGGUGAGUAACACGUGAACAAUCUGUCCCUACAUUCCGGAUAAUUGGCCGAAAGGCCUUGUAAUACGGGCGAGGAUGGUGGUGAGGCAUCUCACUAUCAGGGAAGGUGGAGGAGUAAUCCUUUGCCGUGCAGGGAGGGGUUCGCGGCCUAUCAGUUAGUUGGUGGGGUAACGGCCUACCAAGACGACGACGGGUAGCUGGUCUGAGAGGAUGGUCAGCCACAUUGGAACUGAGACACUGUCCAGACUCCUACGGGAGGCUGCAGUCGAGAAUCUUGGGCAAUGCACGAAAGUGUGACCCAGCGACGCCGCGUGGAGGAUGAAGGCCCUUGGGUUGUAAACUCCUUUUAGGGGAGAAGAACGUCCCUUCGGGGACUUGACGGUACCCCCUGAAUAAGCCACGGCUAACUACGUGCCAGCAGCCGCGGUAAUACGUAGGUGGCAAGCGUUGUCCGGAUUUACUGGGCGUAAAGCGUGUGUAGGCGGACCUUUAAGUAGAAAGUGAAAGGUAGGAGCUCAACUCCUACAUUGCUUUCUAUACUGGAGGUCUUGAGUGUCGGAGAGGAAGAUGGAACUGCACGUGUAGCGGUGAAAUGCGUUGAGAUGUGCAGGAACACCAAUGGCGAAGGCAAUCUUCUGGACGAAAACUGACGCUGAGACACGAAAGCCAAGGUAGCAAACAGGAUUAGAUACCCUGGUAGUCUUGGCCCUAAACUAUGUUCACUAGGUGUCGGGGGUUUCCCUCGGUGCCGCAGCUAACGCAUUAAGG
Molecule: ribosomal RNA, 857 nt
Filed under: uncultured Planctomycetota bacterium
Lineage: Bacteria; Pseudomonadati; Planctomycetota
Description: bacterial SSU rRNA
Rfam family: Bacterial small subunit ribosomal RNA
Source: RNAcentral